GCGGAGGGAUCAUUACCGAGUUUACAACUCCCAAACCCAAUGUGAACGUUACCAAACUGUUGCCUCGGCGGGAUCUCUGCCCCGGGCGCGUCGCAGCCCCGGACCAAGGCGCCCGCCGGAGGACCAACCAAAACUCUUAUUGUAUACCCCCUCGCGGGUUUUUUACUAUCUGAGCCAUCUCGGCGCCCCUCGUGGGCGUUUCGAAAAUGAAUCAAAACUUUCAACAACGGAUCUCUUGGUUCUGGCAUCGAUGAAGAACGCAGCGAAAUGCGAUAAGUAAUGUGAAUUGCAGAAUUCAGUGAAUCAUCGAAUCUUUGAACGCACAUUGCGCCCGCCAGUAUUCUGGCGGGCAUGCCUGUCCGAGCGUCAUUUCAACCCUCGAACCCCUCCGGGGGGUCGGCGUUGGGGAUCGGCCCUUUACGGGGCCGGCCCCGAAAUACAGUGGCGGUCUCGCCGCAGCCUCUCCUGCGCAGUAGUUUGCACACUCGCAUCGGGAGCGCGGCGCGUCCACAGCCGUUAAACACCCCAAACUUCUGAAAUGUUGACCU
Molecule: ribosomal RNA, 548 nt
Filed under: Trichoderma virens
Lineage: Eukaryota; Fungi; Ascomycota; Sordariomycetes; Hypocreales; Hypocreaceae
Description: eukaryotic LSU rRNA
Rfam family: 5.8S ribosomal RNA (bases 216-369)
Source: RNAcentral